Long non-coding RNA from Rhipicephalus sanguineus (brown dog tick), 141 nucleotides. RefSeq lists it as uncharacterized. NCBI's taxonomy places the organism in Eukaryota, Metazoa, Arthropoda, Arachnida, Ixodida, Ixodidae. The record is from RefSeq and is a predicted model, not a curated record. The transcript is spliced from 3 exons.
AAGCAGAUGGAGAAGCUGCAUUGUUGCAGUUGAGCAACAUGGAUUGUACUGCAGCAGACAAUGAAGCCAUAGCUGCACUAUUGCUGUUAGGAAACAUUGAGGUGGAUCCAACUCCAACAGAAGCAGACGGAGAAGCUGCAG